RNAcentral lists this unclassified non-coding RNA (188 nucleotides) under rhizosphere metagenome. RNAcentral describes it as "partial ribosomal RNA internal transcribed spacer region". The record is from RNAcentral.
GUAGGUGAACCUGCGGAAGGAUCAUUCAUAAUAAAAGUGUUUUAUGGCACUUUUAAAACAAUCCAUAUCCACCUUGUGUGCAAUGUUUUUUCAUUAUCAACUCUUUUAUUUUAAUUAUUUUGUCUGAAAUAUAUUAUGAAUAACUUAAUUCAAAAAUAUAACUUUCAACAACGGAUCUCUUGGCUCUC